UACGAAGUGGGCGAGCGUUGUUCGGAAUUACUGGGCGUAAAGGGCGCGCAGGCGGCCUUAGAAGUCAGAUGUGAAAGCCCCGGGCUCAACCUGGGAAUGGCAUUUGAUACUCUGAGGCUGGAGUACGGGAGAGGAGAGUGGAAUUCCCAGUGUAGAGGUGAAAUUCGUAGAUAUUGGGAAGAACACCGGUGGCGAAGGCGGCUCUCUGGACCGUAACUGACGCUGAGGCGCGAAAGCGUGGGGAGCAAACAGG
This 253-nucleotide ribosomal RNA is filed under the name uncultured bacterium. RNAcentral's name for it is "partial 16S ribosomal RNA". It matches the Rfam family "Bacterial small subunit ribosomal RNA", at positions 524 to 776 of the family's 1533-position model. The record is from RNAcentral.